This 302-nucleotide ribosomal RNA is filed under the name Xenopsylla cheopis (oriental rat flea). RNAcentral's name for it is "eukaryotic LSU rRNA". It matches the Rfam family "Eukaryotic large subunit ribosomal RNA", at positions 666 to 934 of the family's 3401-position model. Lineage: Eukaryota; Metazoa; Arthropoda; Insecta; Siphonaptera; Pulicidae. The record is from RNAcentral. RNAcentral also lists the same sequence under 1 other name.
CCAAGGAGUCUAGCAUGUGCGCAAGUCAUUGGGAAUCACAAAACCUAAAGGCGCAAUGAAAGUAAAGGUUCGCUUAAGCGAACUGAGGGAUGAUGGAGCGCGUCUGCGGACGCGUUCUCGCAAUCCCGGGGCGUCUCACUCUCAUUGCGAGAAGUGGCGCACCAAGAGCGUACACGCUGGGACCCGAAAGAUGGUGAACUAUGCCUGGUCAGGUCGAAGUCAGGGGAAACCCUGAUGGAGGACCGUAGCGAUUCUGACGUGCAAAUCGAUCGUCGGAACUGGGUAUAGGGGCGAAAGACUAA